Long non-coding RNA from Pseudophryne corroboree (corroboree frog), 575 nucleotides. RefSeq lists it as uncharacterized. The transcript is spliced from 3 exons. Lineage: Eukaryota; Metazoa; Chordata; Amphibia; Anura; Myobatrachidae. The record is from RefSeq and is a predicted model, not a curated record.
CGCCGGGGCCGCCAUCUUGUAUUCCAGCCCCGGCCCUGUGCAGUGCGCAUGCUCUGCCCACCAUUGUUGCUCGACUGACCCGUGCCUCCAUCUUUGUUGUGGCAGAGUAGCAGAAAUCGAUUUUUUUUUUGGUUCCAGCUCCUGUCUCAAGACUUCCACCAUAGAGACCCGCACCAGCAUUCCACCUGCGGUGUAGCCUGACUCUCCGAUCCAUUUUGGAUUCAUCUGUUUCCAGCCACAACUUUACCUGCUUCCAGCCCAGCUUCCAGCAGAGUACAGCUUCUCUUAAAGGGCCGGUGUCCUUUCUACAGUUUACCACUCUCCACCGCAGUCCAGCUUUCCCUGGAACACCAGCUGGUACGAUCCUGGGCUUUCUUCAUUGCUACAGUCGGGCCUGGUAAGGACUUUCCAACUCGCAGAUAAUAAGAACUGUCUCAUACUACCAGAGCUCUGUGGCCCCUGCCACCCUGUAGUACCCAGGAACUGUAUUAUUUCUCUGCUGAUUUUAUGUUUCUUUUACUGCUACUGUGAUGCAUGGAGUUUGUCAUAAAUAAACAUCAUUGACUUUUAUUCAA